GGGUCCUACGGGGGGCAGCAGUGAGGAAUAUUGGUCAAUGGCCGAGAGGCUGAACCAGCCAAGUCGCGUGAGGGAUGACGGCCCUACGGGUUGUAAACCUCUUUUGUCAGGGAGCAACGCCGGCUACGUGUAGCCGGACUGAGAGUACCCGAAGAAAAAGCAUCGGCUAACUCCGUGCCAGCAGCCGCGGUAAUACGGAGGAUGCGAGCGUUAUCCGGAUUUAUUGGGUUUAAAGGGUGCGUAGGCGGUCCGUUAAGUCAGCGGUAAAAUUGCGGGGCUCAACCCCGUCGAGCCGUUGAAACUGG
RNAcentral lists this ribosomal RNA (305 nucleotides) under uncultured bacterium. RNAcentral's name for it is "bacterial SSU rRNA". It matches the Rfam family "Bacterial small subunit ribosomal RNA", at positions 334 to 636 of the family's 1533-position model. The record is from RNAcentral.